Molecule: ribosomal RNA, 400 nt
Filed under: symbiont type-X of Acyrthosiphon pisum
Lineage: Bacteria; Pseudomonadati; Pseudomonadota; Gammaproteobacteria; Enterobacterales; Enterobacteriaceae
Description: bacterial SSU rRNA
Rfam family: Bacterial small subunit ribosomal RNA
Source: RNAcentral
GCUCAGAUUGAACGCUGGCGGCAGGCCUAACACAUGCAAGUCGAGCGGCAUCGGGAAGGUAGCUUGCUAUCUUUGCCGGCGAGCGGCGGACGGGUGAGUAAAGUCUGGGGAUCUGCCUGAUGGAGGGGGAUAACUACUGGAAACGGUAGCUAAUACCGCAUGAUGUUACGCGACCAAAGCGGGGGACCUCCGGGCCUCGCGCCAUCAGAUGAACCCAGAUGGGAUUAGCUAGUAGGAGAGGUAAUGGCUCCCCUAGGCGACGAUCCCUAGCUGGUCUGAGAGGAUAACCAGCCACACUGGAACUGAGAGACGGUCCAGACUCCUACGGGAGGCAGCAGUGGGGAAUAUUGCACAAUGGGCGCAAGCCUGAUGCAGCCAUGCCGCGUGUGUGAAGAAGGCC